This 214-nucleotide non-coding RNA is filed under the name Aquaspirillum sp. Lineage: Bacteria; Pseudomonadati; Pseudomonadota; Betaproteobacteria; Neisseriales; Aquaspirillaceae. The record is from RNAcentral. RNAcentral also lists the same sequence under 1 other name.
UGCUGCGGCCCACUUCCGGGCCGCGCGGCGAUGGGCUGAAACGGGAAACAGCGUCGCGCCUUGCGCGGCCACUGUGCUGCCCCCGCAACGGUAAGCGCUUGCCCGGCCACUUGGCCAGGGCUAGCCGGAUUGACGCCACUGCACGCCUUGCGUGUGGGAAGGGAAUCCGGAGACGAGCGCCAGCCCGGAUACCGGCCAGCAAGGGCGGUGAAGU